UGGGGAAUAUUGGACAAUGGGGGCAACCCUGAUCCAGCAAUGCCGCGUGUGUGAAGAAGGUCUUCGGAUUGUAAAGCACUUUCGACGGGGACGAUGAUGACGGUACCCGUAGAAGAAGCCCCGGCUAACUUCGUGCCAGCAGCCGCGGUAAUACGAAGGGGGCUAGCGUUGCUCGGAAUGACUGGGCGUAAAGGGCGUGUAGGCGGUUUACACAGUCAGAUGUGAAAUCCCCGGGCUUAACCUGGGAGCUGCAUUUGAUACGUGUAGACUAGAGUGUGAGAGAGGGUUUGUGGAAUUCCCAGUGUAGAGGUGAAAU
Molecule: ribosomal RNA, 316 nt
Filed under: uncultured bacterium
Lineage: Bacteria
Description: partial 16S ribosomal RNA
Rfam family: Bacterial small subunit ribosomal RNA
Source: RNAcentral